This is a long non-coding RNA of Osmia bicornis bicornis, 2111 nucleotides long. RefSeq lists it as uncharacterized. Lineage: Eukaryota; Metazoa; Arthropoda; Insecta; Hymenoptera; Megachilidae. The transcript is spliced from 3 exons. The record is from RefSeq and is a predicted model, not a curated record.
AUCGCAACGUUUGAGUUUCUACGUUUCUCGAGUUAAUGGAAUUUGUCUCCAUUGAUUUACCACUUUGCGUUUGCUGACUCUGACCGCAUCGUUUGCUUUCGAUCAUCGAUCAUCGCCAAUGACAAACAUGCUUACAACACUUGGUUACCAUUUCACGUUGAUAGAGAGUUGUAAUCAGUCUCGAGCAAGCAGACAUUACAGCUUGAAGAUCGUGUGUCGAGGUGAAAACGGAAGUUUCAAGCGAUAACGCGUUACUUAAUGCGUCAGCAAGUGAUUAAGGUCAAUAAUUCAAUGUAGCCUGAAGAGAUACACAAGCAGCGCGCUCAUCCUAUCCUACAGAAAACACUGAAAACAUGGGAAAUAUUCCUUUUAAUGCACGAGAAGCUGAACAUUUUUAGACAAGUUUACGAUUUAUUUCUGUAAUUGUGUCACAGUCGAAAUGAACGACAAGGGGACUUUUAUCGGGUCCUCGCACCAUAACUUCGAGUGCAACCAGCUGAAGUUUCUUUCUGCUUUAAUUUAUCGACGACACAUGAGCUGGAAAAAAUACCCGGCUUAUACGUAUCAAGUUAGUAUAACGUAUCUCUGAUCUGAAUACGUACGUGUUGCUCGCGCGGAAAUAGAAACGGAUAUGCGGCUGGUGCGCGCCCUAUUUUUGGGAAUCGAUCCCGUGAACCCUGCCUACCGAGCAGGAAUUCCUGAUUCCCUUUUGUCACGAGACUAAUCGUUUGUUGCUUCCUACCGUGUAGUCGCUUAUUUUUCGUUCGAACGCUCUGAACGAAAGCGGAGAUGCUGUUUGUCAUCCCUGUCAACGGUACACAGAGGGCUGUUUGUACGAUUUUUAUGGUUUCAUUGGCUGGCCAGAUUUCAUCCAUUUAAUGAAACCACUGAUAGAGAUAACCAUAAGAGAAACUGAUUGUAGUUGUAUCUGAUUUAGGAAGACGUAAAUUCAGAUAAGAAUUAAUAUAAAAGUUUCUUGCAAUAAUUAACAGAAAUUAUGAUGAAAUUUUCGGAUCAUGUGUCCAGUAUUGAUUAAAAUAAAUGAUAAGGUCUUAACUAGAUUACAAACAAAAGGGAUAAUUGCAGUCAUAAUUUUAUGAUUUACUAUGUGUAGACUAUAAUUUUCUAGAUUAAUAUUUAUGAAAAAUUGGAAGAAAUUUUGAUUUAGUUACAAAUGAAUCAUUAAUGAUUAAAGGAUUAUUAAUUGCUUUUCACUCAAUGACCUCUGCCAUAAAAGAGUCUAUUAAUAGAUUUCAUAAAUUUUGAUCACUUUUUUUUCUUGUUAUCUCUUUGUAAUAUAUUUACUUUUUAUUAAAUUGUUACCCUUCACUAUUGGCGCAAUUGAGAAGAGGCCAGGGUGAGGACCCCUUCCCCAAAUGUGGAUUAGUCUCCUUACUGUUGCAAGGUUCUAAGACUCUGAAUUUCAAAAAUUCUAAGAUUCUAAAAUUAAAACAUUCGAAAUUUGUAAUAUUCGCUCGUAAGACGUAAGACAAACACUUGACACUUAAUAAAGCUAAGAAACUUUUCCCACCCUAGAAGAAAAUACUAAUUACGCCAAUACCCAUCAUUUACAACGCUUCUUUGCAACAAAUAAAAAAUAAAACUGGGCUUUCUUAAUUUAAACAUAGCUACUAACGAUAAGUGUAGAACGGAAAAAAGUUACAAUCUGGUUACAAAGAAAUGUUUUUGUGACAAAGAAACGACGAAGAAUGAACUUUUUCUAAUUCGUGUAGAAAAGUGCAGUACAGAAUGUAAAAUUUAAUUUCAACGACACAAAUAAAUAGAUGAUUAAAGUUUCAUACAGCGUUUUUGUGAGAUGGAACUUUUAAUUUGCUUUGUUUUACGUUACUCGUAGGUGUAUUUUUUUUUAUUCUGUUGCUGGUUGAUAGUCAAAACUGUCCCCAUGUUUAUUAAGGGUUUUUAAAUUUAUUUUUAUGAAUACUAUAUUCUUUAAGUUUGGUCACAACACUUUAAAAAUAAGUUUGAACUCAUUAUUGUACUCCACUUUUUGUUUGUUUGUUAUAUAAAUGAAAUAUCAUUCUAGGAUCAUAGGUUUUUCAUUUUACAUUACAAAAAUUACUAACGUGGGAUUGAUUAAAGGAUAUGAGUCU